GACGAACGCUGGCGGCGUGCUUAACACAUGCAAGUCGAACGGAAAGGCCUGCUUUCCCUUGUGGAUUGCGGGUACUCGAGUGGCGAACGGGCGAGUAACACGCGUGUCUUCUGCCCCCAACUUGGGUAUAAGCCUGGGAAACUGGGUCUAAUUCUCGAUAGGACUGCAGGGUGCUGCCUGUGGUGGAAAACGUUUUUCUAGUGGUUGGGGAUGAGCUCGCGGCCUAUCAGCUUGUUGGUGGGGUAAUGGCCUACCAAGGCGGCGACGGGUAGCCGGCCUGAGAGGGUGGACGGCCACAUUGGGACUGAGAUACGGCCCAGACGCCUACGGGAGGCAGCAGUGGGGAAUAUUGCACAAUGGGCGGAAGCCUGAUGCAGCGACGCCGCGUGGGGGAUGACGGGCUUCGGGUUGUAAACUCCUUGCGACCGCGAGGAAGCCACCUGGUUGGAAGGGUGGUGACGGUAGUGGUAGAAGAAGCACCGGCUAACUACGUG
RNAcentral lists this ribosomal RNA (494 nucleotides) under uncultured bacterium. RNAcentral's name for it is "partial 16S ribosomal RNA". It matches the Rfam family "Bacterial small subunit ribosomal RNA", at positions 28 to 507 of the family's 1533-position model. The record is from RNAcentral.